GUGGAACGGAUGUGGGUGGGGCUAGGUCUACAUAACGGUGCAAUUUUUCUUUCUUUAAAUCAAGAAAUUCACAAAUGCUCUGACGAAGGCAGUGAGACUGAUACGUAAAUUUAUUAAACAUCAGUGAUUCUAUCAAGAGCUGUGAGGGAACUAUGUACGCAACCGGAUAGAAGUCACGCAGUAAUCCUUUAUAUGAUUUUGUGGCUGUGGGAAUUAUUAUUGUCUGAGCUAGAAUCAAAUAAUGUAGCGAACUAUGUAAGCAACCGGAAAGAGUAAUCCUUUGUAUGACUUUGUGGCUGUGACGACUACCAUAUUUGGCUCGCUGACAAACAAACGCCAGUACUUGAACUGCGUAGCAGCAUAUCAGAGUAAUCCACGCAGAAAUGGAACCGAAAUCACAGAAAAUAUAGUAGACGUUGUGGUGGCAGCUGUAGAGAGGUAUUUGGGUAUACGAGAUUUGUGUUCAGAGGAGUUACAGGGUGUGUUGAGUGGUGGUGACCCAUGCUAAAAUUAUUCCAAUUGUAGCCUGUUUCCUUGCGUCGGCUAACGUUGCUUGGUUGUACAUCCUCAAUUCUGGAACUGCAAAUGUAACGUUAUUAUUCUUGUAUGGGUUAGAAUGAAAUGUCCGCAACAGGAAGAGAGUCAUGCAGUAACCCUUUUAGCCACAACUUCCUAAGAAAAGCUGUGGCCUACAUGUGAUGUACAGCUGUUUACAGUUUUUUCAAUUGCUUACACACUAAAGUGGUACUUGAGGCACACUCAGUGAAACCAAGUCAUGUGCCUAAUCUUCAGACCAAGUCUGCAAAACUUCAAGCACUUUAUCUGCUUUACAUUCAGUUUGCAAUUGUAAAGCACUAAAGAUACGGGCUGUUUUGGUUGAGUUUCAGGGAGGCUGGGCAGAGGGUCCAGCCUAACUUGAGCCGCUACACUGCAGCAAGUGUCCUUCAGAGAACAGAAUUGCUAGACAACCCUUCAAUGGCGGAAGAAACUGGCUGUUCACUGCAGAGCAGGACCAACACAGUGAAUAUGGUCAUUUUAAACAACCGCAUACGUUAAUGACAACUGCAACCCCACAUCAUCACUGACAACACAACAUUCAGUAACAUAAAUAGUGUGAGUUUAUCCGCACUUGGCCGUCUCCUGAAACGCCACCAGAUUCGUAUGAAGCAGCUCUACAGAGUACCAUUUGAACGAAAUUCUGACAGUGUGAAACAACUGCGCUAUGAGUAUGUACAAGUAAGCUAUACUAUCCUGUCAUUGGUACUAUAUUCCAGUGUAUUGUGCUACAUAUUGACUGCUCUAUGUCUAUUCAUACUGUCAUGCAAUAAUGUCUUGUCUGUUUCUGUCACGGUGAUCUUCAUCUGAAGAGGAGAGGCGAGAAGGAUCGGAGGACCAAAAUGCGGCGUGGUAGGUGUUCAUCAUUAAUUUUAAUAAAGAAAACACUGAACACUGAAACACUAUACAAAAACAAUAGACGAAAUAACAACCGUGACGCUAAUGCGAACUGUGCUGAAACAAGCAAUCAACAUAGACAAUCACCCACAAACAAACAGUGAAACCCAGGCUACCUAAGUAUGAUUCAACACCUGCCUCUGAUUGAGAACCAUACUAGGCCGAAACAUAGAAAUCCCCAAAUCAUAGAAAAUCAAACAUAGACUGCCCACCCCAACUCACGCCCUGACCAUACUAAAUAAUGAAUACAAAACAAAGGAAAUAAAGGUCAGAACGUGACAGUUUCAGAGUUAUGGAACUAGAUGCUGUUGCAGAGCAUCAUGAUUUCGUCUACGUUGAUGAGGGCGGCUUUAACAUAGCCAAAACAAGAUGCAGGGGAAGAAACCUCAUAGGACACCGCGCCAUCGUCAAUGUCCCUGGACAGUGUGGUGGCAACAUCAGAAUGGGUGCAGCCAUUAGUCAGAACGGUGUCCUUCAUCAUCAUGCCACUCUUGGUCCUGCCCACAUUAUCACCUUCCUUGACACCCUGCAUAAUAUCCUCAUUCCCAAUGACCAGAGGAAUGGGCCAGAGCAGUCCAGGUUUGUUGCCAUCUGGGCAACGUAAGUUUCCACCGUGCUGCUCUAGUCUGCAAUUGGUUCAUUGACCAUCCGCAAGUUUUGAUGCUCAACCUGCCACCAUAUUCUUCAUUUCUAAACCCAAUUGAAGAGUUAUUUUCGGCAUGGUGUUGGGAGGUAUAUAAUCGCAUAUCCCUUCUCCAGGUGAUGGAGGAGGCCUGUGGUGACAUGAGGGAGCAUGCCAGGGCUGGAUACACCACUUCAGAUGCUACUUUCCCCACUGUUUAGCCAGAGAGAACAGCUCUUGUGAUGUUGAGGAGGUGCUGUGGCCAGACUCAAAUAGGAGACAGGAUGCACCCAAACUGUUUUUUUCUUUAUAAACUCAGCAAAAAAGGAAACGUCCUCUCACUGUCAACUGCGUUUAAUUUCAACAAACUUAACAUGUGUAAAUGUUUGCAUGAACAUAAGAUUCAACAACUGAGACAUAAACUGAACAAGUUCCACAGACAUGUGACUAACAGAAAUUGAAUAAUGUGUCCCUGAACAAAGGGGGGUUCAAAAUCAAAAGUAACAGUUAGUAUCUGGUGUGGCCACCAGCUGCAUUAAGUACUGCAGUGCAUCUCCUCAUGGACUGCACCAUAUUUGCCAGUUCUUGCUGUGAUAUGUUACCCCACUCUUCCACCAAGGCACCUGCAAGUUCCCGGACAUUUCUGGGGAGAAUGGCCCUAGUCCUCAUCCUCCGAUCCAACUGGUCCCAGACCUGCUCAAUGGGAUUGACAUCCAGGCUCUUCGCUGACCAUGGCAGAACACUGACAUUCCUGUCUUGCAGGAAAUCACGCACAGAACGAGCAGUAUGGCUGGUGGCAUUGUCAUGCUGGAGAGCCAUGUCAGGAUGAGCCUGCAGGAAGGGUACCACAUGAGGGAGGAGGAUUUCUUCCCUGUAACGCAGUGUUGAGCUUGCCUGCAAUGAAAACAAUGUAAUUCCGAUGAUCCUGUAACACACCGUCCCAGACCAUGACGGACCCUCCACCUCCAAAUCGAUCCUGCUCCAGAGUACAGGCCUCGGUGUAACGCUCAUUCCUUCGACGAUAAACGCGAAUCCGACCAUCACCCCUGUUGAGACAAAUCCACGACUCAUCAGUGAAGAGUACUUUUUGCCAGUCCUGUCUGGUCCAGCAACGGUGGGUUUGUGCCCAUAGGCGAAGUUGUUGCCGGUGAUGUCUGGUGAGGACCUGCCUUACAACAGGCCUACAAGCCCUCAGUCCAGCCUCUCUCAGCCUAUUGGGAACAGUCUGAGCACUGAUGGACAGAUUGUGCGUUCCUAGUGUAACUCGGGCAGUUGUUGUUGCCAUUCUGUACCUGUCCCGCAGGUGUGAUGUUCGGAUGCACCAAUCCUGUGCAGGUGUUGUUACAAGUGGUCUGCCACUGCGAGGACGAUCAGCUGUCUGUCCUGUCUCACUGUAGCGCUGUCUUAGGCGUCUCACAGUACUGACAUUGCAAUUUAUUGCCCUGGCCACAUCUGCUGUCCUCAUGCCUCCUUGCAGCAUGCCUAAGGCACGUUCACGCAGAUGAGCAGGGACCCUGGGCAUCUUCCUUUUGGUGUUUUUCAGAAUCAGUAGAAAGGCCUCUUUAGUGUCUUAAGUUUUCAUAACUGUGACCUUAAUUGCCUACCGUCUGUAAGCUGUUAGUGUCUUAAUGACCGUUCCACAGGUGCAUGUUCAUUAAUUGUUUAUGGUUCAUUGAACAAGCAUGGGAAACAGUGUAUAAACCCUUUGGCUUUUUACCAAUUCUCUUUGAAAGACAGGGUCCUGAAGAGUUUAGUAACAAGCCUACUUGUUUGUUUUUGUUUUGUCUGUUACUGUUCAUCCUGAAAUCUGGAUGAAAAUACAAUGUUAUGAGAAAGAAAUGGAUUUAAUAUCCCCCCCUUGUAUUUCUGUUUAUUGUGUAAAUAUAUACUAAAUAUGCAUAUAUACUGUAUAUAUUUGUGCACAUACAUGUACAUGUGAGUGCUAUGACAAACUGCCGUGGACUCCACUGAAAAUGCAAAAGACAAGAUGGUAGUGUUUUACAUUUCUCAUGUCUGUGUGUAGUUGGUGUGUGUAAGAGCUAAUCAUUUGAUGGUUUGUGUGUAGAGUUUGAUGUUAAAACACAAUUUGAGGAGUUAAAAUAGUUUUGAAUUAAGUGUUUGGUUUUGCAAGAGAUGUGUGUUGUUUUGCUUAUGUGUUUUGGCAUUUUGUGUAGUCUAGAGAAAAGGAGCCAUAGUUUCAGAAAUCAUGCACAAGCAAUUGUCAAACUGUAAUGCUCUGUCAUGUGUAUAGGCUACUGUAUUUACAAAACAGUGUACGUUUCCGUGUGUGAUUGGUAAAAUAACUCUAAAAUGG
Long non-coding RNA from Oncorhynchus nerka (sockeye salmon), 4388 nucleotides. RefSeq lists it as uncharacterized. The transcript has 2 exons. NCBI's taxonomy places the organism in Eukaryota, Metazoa, Chordata, Actinopteri, Salmoniformes, Salmonidae. The record is from RefSeq and is a predicted model, not a curated record.